UACGAAGGGGGCUAGCGUUGCUCGGAAUUACUGGGCGUAAAGCGCACGUAGGCGGAUCUUUAAGUCAGGGGUGAAAUCCUGGAGCUCAACUCCAGAACUGCCUUUGAUACUGGCGACCUUGAGUUCGGGAGAGGUGAGUGGAACUGCGAGUGUAGAGGUGAAAUUCGUAGAUAUUCGCAAGAACACCAGUGGCGAAGGCGGCUCACUGGCCCGAUACUGACGCUGAGGUGCGAAAGCGUGGGGAGCAAACAGG
RNAcentral lists this ribosomal RNA (253 nucleotides) under uncultured bacterium. RNAcentral's name for it is "partial 16S ribosomal RNA". It matches the Rfam family "Bacterial small subunit ribosomal RNA", at positions 524 to 776 of the family's 1533-position model. The record is from RNAcentral.